This is a non-coding RNA of Xyrichtys novacula (pearly razorfish), 4128 nucleotides long. NCBI's taxonomy places the organism in Eukaryota, Metazoa, Chordata, Actinopteri, Labriformes, Labridae. The record is from the annotation of a GenBank genome assembly.
UGGGGGUUGGGGGGUCCAUCCUGCCACGGUGUCUGCUGCUGAUGUAAACUGAUGCAACCUUCAUUCAAGACAAAGCAAGAGAAAAAAGAAAAAAGAAAAAAAAGAAAAAGAAACAGUGUGUGGGAUCAGUGUCCACUAUGAAAAGCAACACACACACAGACACACAUACAGUGUUUGGUGGCGAGUUGCACUGGGGUUUCAUAAAGCAAACCUAAUAAUUGAUGACACUGUUGGAUAACGAUCAAGUGUGCGUGUUUGUGAGUGCGUCUGAAAGCAAAGAGAAACGCAGUGACAGUGAGGGGGAGAGAGGAGUGUUUUUAUGUGUGUGAAAGAUAAACACAGCAGAAGUGGAAAAGACAGAGUGAGAGUAAGAGGAGUGCGUCUGGGAGAAGUUUGAGAGGCAGAGACUGAAAAAAGUCGAGAAGUAAAAAGCAGAGACAGUCUGAGUAACAGAUGAAUGUCAACAGAUACCUUUGUUCCCACACUUGUGAGUGUAAACCCUGUCAAAAUAAAAAUGAUGUAUGUAUAUAAGUUCUACAUUUGCAGGUAUACAUAUUGUCAGAAAGAAAUGCUGGCCCCAUACAGAUUUCAUUUUGUAUAAACAUUUGUAUAGACUUUUGCCAACAGCCGUCCCCUAAACUUGAAACACAACCAUUACCUACAGCCGUCAUUUUGCAUUUAUACCUAGAACAAGUACUUUGCUUUAAUAAGUUUAUCAUGAGCAAAUUUGGAGGUCUGGUGUAAAGCAUAAAAAAGCUGACUUGAAAAGAUAGAGGUUAAUUUAACUCCCUGUUCCCGUCUCCUGACUAAAGUCAGCGAAAGCCAGAUUAUCAGAUGGGUCUUAAGAUCACCUUCCCAGAUUUUCCUGUUGUGUGAGGUUUGUUAAGAGUGAAGAGUAAAUUUUCAGGAACUCUGCCCCUGAAAUUUCCACAGUUACCUGCUCACACCUCACUCAAAGCAUAAAGUCCUCUCUGUUCGAUGGUGGUGGUAAACAUGGGAGAGAGUAAGACAGGACAUGACAUCAAAAGCACACCAGCAAGGCCUCAGUACAAUGCAGUUCUUAGCUCUCUGUCCAGGAAGCUCCACAAACAUUCACACCUGGGACCAUGUGACCACAAUACCUCACAUGGAAGGGGUAGUUAACGACCAACUCAGGUUAACGACUCUCAAGGUAAUCACCUAGUCAUUGUUUUCCUCUCCUCUGGUAAGAUAAAAUACCAGCUCCCCCCACUAGCUCUUUUAGAACUGAAGAAGCUUCUUGUAUAAGUGGCGAAACAUCUUCCCAACUCUACAUAGUCGAGUUGCCGGAUUUUGGAGAUUUCAGGAAAGCCAAAAUGUCAUGUUCAUUGCAUGAUGGCGAAUGAAGCAGUGUGAAUGGAUGGAUGAGGAGACAGUGCAGCUUAUACUACAACUUCUGUACAUGAGGGGUGUGAAUACAGUUUUAGAGUACUGACAAAUCAUAGGUGUGUAGUAGAGCUGUAACUUUGCAAAAUUUGAACCUUGAUUCAAAGUCUAGGGGAGAAGUUCAUAUUCAAACUGUAAUGAGCUGUUCGAACUCAUGAUAAUGCUAUCUACCCAACCGCGUUAAGUAGCAUGAUGUAUGAUCCAGCAAAGGGUGCUCUCAUGGUUAUCAGGCCAAUCUAUGCACUCUUGACCUCAGUAAACAAGGUCAAACAAAGCAGCUCUGAACAACAGUCACAAUAUGGAAACAUCUAAGAACCUUAGAGUGGAAGUAUUUUGGGAUCUACACCAAAGAUCGGAAAAAUAAAACCAAAAGCUGGGGCUGUAUAUCCACUUUGUAUAAAGCUGCUGUCUUGCUUGUCAACAUCGACAAAUUCACGGGCUCACCUAAUGUCUUGCCCCCUUGUGAAGCAGCAGGAGAGGCACCACUGUUCACCACCCUAUUUGACUGCCUUUCCUAAAACAGACCCCUACCAGAGACGUAAAAAAGCCCUCCUUUGUAGUCAUGUAAUUACAACAUUGAACUAACUCGCAAAAAUAUUCCCCUCAAUAUUUAUCCAAAUGUGUGGAAGGCAGAAGCAGAAACAUACACAGACACCAAACCUGGCAUCUGACUCUGGAGGCAUAAUUUCUCACCAUUAUUCUCAAUGCAGAGAAGCAAUACGACUGUAUUUUAAGGGAAAAUAUAUUUGUGUUUUUGACACAUUCACACAUGAUUGUGCCUUUUAUCAUUGUCACCAUCACGACCUCCUCCUAUUCUGAUUAAUUUACUUGUGUGUCUCUGAGUGUGUCUGAGACGUGCCAUAGUUUUCUGCUCACUGAAGCAGAGCUGGAUUGAUGUGUUUCCGAUGAAGUGCAAUGACAAUUAAACAGUAACUGACCUGCUAUUUCCCUUCAUUACCUCCCUGCUCUUCAUGCUGUGUGUUUGUGUGUGCGCACAUAUGUGCAUGUGUGUACGUGUCCCUGUGUUUCUGAAUAAUGUGCAUGUUUGUGUUUAUGUCAUGCAAAUGUUGACAGGGUAAGAAAGAAAGGGAAAGAGUCAGCAUUUCCAUACGCACAUACAGAUGACAUGCAUGCGGUAUAUGAUGCAAAAAUAUACAAACACAGUACAAAAGAGAGUCAUUUGCAUGAUGCGGGCACACACAGGCAGUGAGUGAAAAUUCCUCCUUGCUGAUCGCUGAGGUUGCUUUACAUUGUAAACACUUCCAGCAGGUACAGACCGCCUGCCUAUGGAUGGUUUUAUUCCUGUAAACAUACAUUCAAAAGAGCAUCUUAUCAUGCCAUCUUGUCUGCAUUUUCUGCAUCAUUAUGAUGUCCCCCUCAGUCCUCCAUUUUUCUUUCUUCCAUCUCCAGCUUUUUUUUCUUUUCUGCCUCUCUUUUUCUUUCUGUAUCUUCUCUUUUUUUCCUCUCUUUCUCCACACAUAAAGAUACAAACAUCGCCAUUUUUUUUCCCUGCCUGCACAAGGCCCACCACACAGCCAUUUGCAUAACAAUCUCCACUUGUUUUUCUGCUUAGAUGGAAUUCACAGCAUGGUGCCUGCAUGACUGAGACAGGGGUCAUUGCUAUGUAUAUCAGAGAGAGAGAGAGAAAGAGGGAGGGAGAGGUGGAGUAGGGAUGGAAGAGAGCAUUUAUAGUAGUGAGAGGGAGAGGGAGAUACAGGGAGGUGGCAGUUGUGAAAAUCCACAUCUAGGCGCACAAACACUCCACUAAAAACACUCAUUGGAAUAUGUACAGUGACAGGCAGACACCGGGGAAAAUACAGACUGAAAAUACAGACAGGAAGGAGGUAAAAAGGCUCAGACUCCUCUCCAUCUGUCCAGUGUAAAGCUUCUUUAAGACGAAGAAUGCAAGAACUGAUUAAACCGAUGAGUGAUACACUUACAGUGGAACAAUGUCAUGGUUAUCUGUAAUCAAAACAUACGUAUACAUUUAUCUGUGAAAGCAAUGAUUGUAAAUUUCAAGAACCAGGAUUUCAGCAGAAAUGGGAGUUUUAGAGAAUCAGAUGGACCAAAAUGCAACGCAAGAAGUGUCUUUCCAAGCUCAGCAUCACCAUCAACUGACAUUCAAACAUGCACAGAAAACAGACGAGAGGAUUUCUAGCUGACUGACACAAGGCUGAUCCCGGUCUACAAGCCUGCACACUCUGACACCUGAUCCUGAAGAGUCAGAUUUAGUUUAUAUAAAAUUAAUAAUAACAACUAUAGCAAUUGUGUUCAUCUCAGUGACGACAUGUAGAUGGUUACGUUUGGUGCACUUUAUGGCAUUUUGUUGUCUUAUCUAUUGAUUUAUUGAUUAGUUGUUUAGUAAUAUAUUUCCUGAUGUUUGAAAUAUGUAUAAAGCUCUCAUAUAAAACUGUAAUGUCCAUACUGACAUUAAACUGAGUCCCAGUUUUAGUAAGUUUGUACAGUCUAAUGACCCAACUGACUGACUGACUUUUGGAUAGAGGUUUGGCUUGGGGGAGAAGGUUACAGUUUUAUUUUUUAAAUUGGACUUUUAGGGCAAACUUAAAGCUAUAACAAUCAUAGACGGACACACACACACACACACACGCACGCACGCACGCACGCACACACACACACACGUAUAUAGUUUUUUUUUUUUAACAGCAUGUUUCAUAAAUAUUAAGCCCAAACUGAAACAUAGAAUGAAACAAGGUCAGUUAAAAA